CAGUAGCCGCGGGAAUACGGAGGGUGCGAGCGUUAAUCGGAUUUACUGGGCGUAAAGGGCGCGUAGGUGGUUAUGUAAGUGAGAUGUGAAAUCCCCGGGCUCAACCUGGGAACUGCAUCUUAUACUGCGUAGCUGGAGUGCAGUAGAGGGUAGUGGAAUUUCCGGUGUAGCGGUGAAAUGCGUAGAUAUCGGAAGGAACACCAGUGGCGAAGGCGGCUACCUGGACUGACACUGACACUGAGGCGCGAAAGCGUGGGGAGCAAACAGGAUUAGAUACCCGCGUAGUCCCUGUCUCUUAUAC
RNAcentral lists this ribosomal RNA (301 nucleotides) under uncultured bacterium. RNAcentral describes it as "partial 16S ribosomal RNA". It matches the Rfam family "Bacterial small subunit ribosomal RNA", at positions 509 to 807 of the family's 1533-position model. The record is from RNAcentral.